Molecule: ribosomal RNA, 292 nt
Filed under: uncultured bacterium
Lineage: Bacteria
Description: partial 16S ribosomal RNA
Rfam family: Bacterial small subunit ribosomal RNA
Source: RNAcentral
GUGUCAGCAGCCGCGGUAAUACGAAGGGGGCUAGCGUUGUUCGGAAUUACUGGGCGUAAAGCGCGCGCAGGCGGCCAUUCAAGUCAGGGGUGAAAGCCCAGAGCUCAACUCUGGAACUGCCCUUGAAACUGUAUGGCUUGAGUAUGAGAGAGGUGAGUGGAAUUCCCAGUGUAGAGGUGAAAUUCGUAGAUAUUGGGAAGAACACCGGUGGCGAAGGCGGCUCACUGGCUCAUUACUGACGCUCAGGCGCGACAGCGUGGGGAUCAAACAGGAUUAGAUACCCCCGUAGUCC